CACAGAGGAGCUGCUGGGGAGUGACCACAGCCCCGCUCCCUUGCCCAAUGCUGAGAUUGUGGUUGGCUGGAGAUUGAAGAGAAAAACACUUCCAUAUUAAAGAGAGAAGAAUCUCCCUGAACUGAACAAAUGUGUCACUUUUGAAUAAGGAUUCAUGAAAAGGCAGAGAAGGAGAAGAAAAAAAGAAUAAAGAAGGGAGUAUUUUAUGACUUCUUUAAGAUUUUCCAGCGUGGAUCUUUAGCGGACACGAAAGCAAGCUGAAGCCUGUGAAACUU
Molecule: long non-coding RNA, 275 nt
Organism: Oxyura jamaicensis (ruddy duck)
Lineage: Eukaryota; Metazoa; Chordata; Aves; Anseriformes; Anatidae
Exons: 4
Source: RefSeq, a predicted model, not a curated record